RNAcentral lists this ribosomal RNA (454 nucleotides) under uncultured bacterium. Its description in RNAcentral is "bacterial SSU rRNA". It matches the Rfam family "Bacterial small subunit ribosomal RNA", at positions 340 to 786 of the family's 1533-position model. The record is from RNAcentral.
UACGGGAGGCAGCAGUGGGGAAUAUUGCACAAUGGGCGCAAGCCUGAUGCAGCCAUGCCGCGUGUAUGAAGAAGGCCUUCGGGUUGUAAAGUACUUUCAGCGGGGAGGAAGGCGAUGCGGUUAAUAACCGCGUCGAUUGACGUUACCCGCAGAAGAAGCACCGGCUAACUCCGUGCCAGCAGCCGCGGUAAUACGGAGGGUGCAAGCGUUAAUCGGAAUUACUGGGCGUAAAGCGCACGCAGGCGGUCUGUUAAGUCAGAUGUGAAAUCCCCCGGGCUUAACCUGGGAACUGCAUUUUGAAACUGGCAGGCUUGAGUCUUGUAGAGGGGGUAGAAUUCCAGGUGUAGCGGUGAAAUGCGUAGAGAUCUGGAGGAAUCCGGUGGCGAAGGCGGCCCCUGGGACAAAGACUGACGCUCAGGUGCGAAAGCGUGGGGAGCAAACAGGAUUAGAUACC